GACGAACGCUGGCGGCGUGCUUAACACAUGCAAGUCGAACGGAAAGGCCCCUUUGGGGGUACUCGAGUGGCGCACGGGUGAGUAACACGUGAGUAACCUGCCCUUGACUUCGGGAUAACUUCAGGAAACUGGGGCUAAUACCGGAUAGGAAUCUUUGCUGCAUGGUGGGGGUUGGAAAGCUUCGGCGGUUUUGGAUGGACUCGCGGCUUAUCAGCUUGUUGGUGGGGUAGUGGCUUACCAAGGCUUUGACGGGUAGCCGGCCUGAGAGGGCGACCGGCCACAUUGGGACUGAGAUACGGCCCAGACUCCUACGGGAGGCAGCAGUGGGGAAUAUUGCACAAUGGGCGGAAGCCUGAUGCAGCAACGCCGCGUGCGGGAUGACGGCCUUCGGGUUGUAAACCGCUUUCAGUAGGGGCGAAGCUUGUGGUGACGGUACCUGCAGAAGAAGCACCGGCUAACUACGUG
RNAcentral lists this ribosomal RNA (465 nucleotides) under uncultured bacterium. Its description in RNAcentral is "partial 16S ribosomal RNA". It matches the Rfam family "Bacterial small subunit ribosomal RNA", at positions 28 to 507 of the family's 1533-position model. The record is from RNAcentral.